UGGUAAUCAAUUAUAUUAAAGACCGUUGCCAAAGUAUUUUCAAACAAUGAAAGAUAAUCGAUUAUGUACAAUCAGACAAUCGAUUAUGUUAAGCAUAAAAUCGGGGAUUGAUUUUUGAACGUUGUCAGGUAAUCGAUUAUACGAUUUGGAUAAUCGAUUAUUCUGCUUAUAAUAUGGGAAUGAUUUUUAAACGAUUGGCAGAUAAUCGAUUAUGCAGAAUCAGAUAAUCGAUUAUCCUAGCACAAAAUCAGCAGUUUGUGAUUGGUAAUUAAGCAACGAUUUUGGGUGUUUU
Molecule: long non-coding RNA, 292 nt
Filed under: Nicotiana benthamiana
Lineage: Eukaryota; Viridiplantae; Streptophyta; Magnoliopsida; Solanales; Solanaceae
Description: long non-coding RNA (NBEN_LNC006166)
Source: RNAcentral